UCCUAACCGCUAAAGCUGUGUGUGGCUAGCAGAAACACACUUCCUUGAGCAGAAGUGAAUAAAGAAAAAUGUGUUUUGAAUGAGAACUAAAUCUACAAAGCCCUGUCAGGCGGUUCUCUCCACACAACCUAAGUUUUGUGUUGUUGUGAACUGAGUUUCCCCGCUUCCUGGAGUAGUCAUUAACAUUCUACUAGCCGAGCUAACAGCUGAUGCUCCUGACCUGCUCCUGACGUGCUGAGCUAACACCUGAUUCUCCUGACAGCUUAUGCUCCUGACGUCUCUGUCACAACCAUAGACUGUAUAUAAAAGUAUAUAUUACAACCAGUGGCCAUAAUUUCCCAUUCCAGAGGAGUAGCAGAUCAUUCUGACAGCUUUAUCCAGCCUGGACAUGCUGCAAACACAGGUCAAAGGUCGUAAUAGAUGAUCAUGACGGGGACAGAGGACAGGAGGGACAUUGGGAUAAAUGCAAAGGAGGAAACGAGAGCGAAGAAACAACAACAGAGAAACAAAUUACCAUGGUGAAUUAUCAUGGUAAUAGAGACGCUGCAGGCGA
This is a long non-coding RNA of Notolabrus celidotus (New Zealand spotty), 553 nucleotides long. RefSeq lists it as uncharacterized. NCBI's taxonomy places the organism in Eukaryota, Metazoa, Chordata, Actinopteri, Labriformes, Labridae. The record is from RefSeq and is a predicted model, not a curated record. The transcript is spliced from 3 exons.